This 1901-nucleotide ribosomal RNA is filed under the name Baeostethus chiltoni. RNAcentral's name for it is "SSU rRNA". It matches the Rfam family "Eukaryotic small subunit ribosomal RNA". The record is from RNAcentral. Lineage: Eukaryota; Metazoa; Arthropoda; Insecta; Coleoptera; Staphylinidae.
GCAUGUCUCAGUACAAGCCUAAUUAAGGUGAAACCGCGAAAGGCUCAUUAAAUCAGUUAUGGUUCCUUAGAUCGUACUCACAUUUACUUGGAUAACUGUGGUAAUUCUAGAGCUAAUACAUGCAAACAGAGUUCCAACCGGAGACGGAAGGAACGCUUUUAUUAGAUCAAAACCAAUCGGUGCUGCGGUGGCGUUUACGUUUGCUGUAGCAUCGUUCAAAACUUUGGUGACUCUGAAUAACUUUUUGCUGAUCGCACGGUCUUGCACCGGCGACGCAUCUUUCAAAUGUCUGCCUUAUCAACUGUCGAUGGUAGGUUCUGCGCCUACCAUGGUUGUAACGGGUAACGGGGAAUCAGGGUUCGAUUCCGGAGAGGGAGCCUGAGAAACGGCUACCACAUCCAAGGAAGGCAGCAGGCGCGCAAAUUACCCACUCCCGGCACGGGGAGGUAGUGACGAAAAAUAACGAUACGGGACUCAUCCGAGGCCCCGUAAUCGGAAUGAGUACACUCUAAAUCCUUUAACAAGGAUCAAUUGGAGGGAAAGUCUGGUGCCAGCAGCCGCGGUAAUUCCAGCUCCAAUAGCGUAUAUUAAAGUUGUUGCGGUUAAAAAGCUCGUAGUCGAAUUUGUGUCUCGCGCCGCCGGUUCAUCGCCUCGCGGUGUUUAACUGGCGUGUUCGCGGGACGUCCUGCCGGUGGGUUCCUCGAAUUUAUCGUUUCGGCGGUGGUUCGUGGCCCAACUCGUGUUCGCCUUGCGCGGAUUCGAAUCUCAUCGCGGUGCUCUUUAUUGAGUGUCGAGGUGGGCCGGCACGUUUACUUUGAACAAAUUAGAGUGCUUAAAGCAGGCCAAUUUUGCCUGAAUAUUGUGUGCAUGGAAUAAUGGAAUAGGACCUCGGUUCUAUUUUGUUGGUUUUCGGAACCCCGAGGUAAUGAUUAAUAGGAACGGAUGGGGGCAUUCGUAUUGCGACGUUAGAGGUGAAAUUCUUGGAUCGUCGCAAGACGGACAGAAGCGAAAGCAUUUGCCAAAAACGUUUUCAUUGAUCAAGAACGAAAGUUAGAGGUUCGAAGGCGAUCAGAUACCGCCCUAGUUCUAACCAUAAACGAUGCCAGCUAGCGAUCCGCCGACGUUCCUCCGAUGACUCGGCGGGCAGCUUCCGGGAAACCAAAGCUUUUGGGUUCCGGGGGAAGUAUGGUUGCAAAGCUGAAACUUAAAGGAAUUGACGGAAGGGCACCACAAGGAGUGGAGCCUGCGGCUUAAUUUGACUCAACACGGGAAACUUCACCAGGCCCGGACACUGGAAGGAUUGACAGAUUGAGAGCUCUUUCUUAAUUCAGUGGGUGGUGGUGCAUGGCCGUUCCUAAUUGGUGGAGUGGUUUGUCUGGUUAAUUCCGAUAACGAACGAGACUCUAGCCUGCUAACUAGGCGUAUUUUCGACAUCCUAAAGGUCCGCCAGUUCGAUUGACUUCGGUUGGUCGGUGCUGCGCGCGAUUUUUACUGUCGGCGUACAAUUAAAUCUUCUUAGAGGGAUAGGUGGCUUUCAGCCGCACGAGAUUGAGCAAUAACAGGUCUGUGAUGCCCUUAGAUGUUCUGGGCCGCACGCGCGCUACACUGAAGGAAUCAGCGUGUCUUCCCUGGCCGAGAGGUCCGGGUAAUCCGCUGAAACUCCUUCGUGCUAGGGAUUGGGGCUUGCAAUUGUUCCCCAUGAACGAGGAAUUCCCAGUAAGCGCGAGUCAUAAGCUCGCGUUGAUUAAGUCCCUGCCCUUUGUACACACCGCCCGUCGCUACUACCGAUUGAAUGAUUUAGUGAGGUCUUCGGACCGGUACGCGGCGGCGUUUCGACGUCGCCGAUGUUGCUGGAAAGAUGACCAAACUUGGUCAUUUAGAGGAAGUAAAAGUCGUAACAA